UAAAAAUGAAAAGAGAAACACACACAUUAGCCUAGGCUAGGCCUACACAGAGUCAGGAUCAUCAAUAUCACUGUCUCCCACCUCCUCGUCUUGUCCCAUCAGAAGGUCUUUAGGGGACUAGCACACCUAGGGCAGUCACCGCCUGUGAUAACAGGGCUGCUUUCUGAAUCCAUCCUGAAAGCCCUGUCUGAGGCUCUUCUUGAGGAAUUGUCACUCUUUUCAGAAACAUGGCCAUGGUGAUGUGCUUGGUUUCCUUUUUUCAUCAUAGAUUUGCCUGUAAGCAGAUAAGGCACUAUGAACAUUCCUGUCUAUGAAAGAAAGCCUUCCGUGUUGAGGUCUAUGCUUCAGACUUGUUAAGACCCUGUAUUCAGUGGAUCAGCUGGCACCACCCAAAUAGAUAAAUUGGCCCAUCUGGUCUUGUGGCCCCCACCCAGGAAUGGACUCAGCUCAAGAGGACAGCUUCAGCUCCCUAAGAUUUUAUCUUGGACCCGACCAAUCAGCACUCCCGACUUACUGGCCCUCUACUCACCAAGUUAUCCUUAAAAACCUCAAUCCCUGAGUUUUCAGAGAGACUGAUUUGAAUAAUAAUAAAACUCCGGUCUUCCACA
Molecule: long non-coding RNA, 608 nt
Filed under: Homo sapiens (human)
Lineage: Eukaryota; Metazoa; Chordata; Mammalia; Primates; Hominidae
Description: HSALNT0318140
Source: RNAcentral